GCAUUGGUGCUUCAGUGGUAGAAUUCUCGCCUUCCAUGUGGGAGACCUGGGUUUGAUUCCCAGCCAAUACA
This 71-nucleotide transfer RNA is filed under the name Loxodonta africana (African savanna elephant). It matches the Rfam family "tRNA". From Rfam's summary of the family: Transfer RNA (tRNA) molecules are approximately 80 nucleotides in length. Lineage: Eukaryota; Metazoa; Chordata; Mammalia; Proboscidea; Elephantidae. The record is from Rfam by way of RNAcentral.